This 227-nucleotide ribosomal RNA is filed under the name uncultured bacterium. RNAcentral's name for it is "partial 16S ribosomal RNA". It matches the Rfam family "Bacterial small subunit ribosomal RNA", at positions 524 to 748 of the family's 1533-position model. The record is from RNAcentral.
UACGUAGGGUGCAAGCGUUAAUCGGAAUUACUGGGCGUAAAGCGUGCGCAGGCGGUUAUGUAAGACAGAUGUGAAAUGCCCGGGCUUAACCUGGGAACUGCAUUUGUGACUGCAUGGCUAGAGUUUGGCAGAGGGGGGGUAGAAUUCCACGUGUAGCAGUGAAAUGCGUAGAGAUGUGGAGGAACACCGAUGGCGAAGGCAGCCCCCUGGGUCAAGAUUGGACGCUC